GAUGAACGCUGGCGGCGUGCCUAAUACAUGCAAGUAGAACGCUGAAGGAGGAGCUUGCUCUUUCCGGAUGAGUUGCGAACGGGUGAGUAACGCGUAGGUAACCUGCCUGGUAGCGGGGGAUAACUAUUGGAAACGAUAGCUAAUACCGCAUAACAGUAGAUAUUGCAUGAUAUUUGCUUGAAAGGGGCAAUUGCUCCACUACCAGAUGGACCUGCGUUGUAUUAGCUAGUUGGUGAGGUAACGGCUCACCAAGGCGACGAUACAUAGCCGACCUGAGAGGGUGAUCGGCCACACUGGGACUGCGACACGGCCCAGACUCCUACGGGAGGCAGCAGUAGGGAAUCUUCGGCAAUGGACGGAAGUCUGACCGAGCAACGCCGCGUGAGUGAAGAAGGUUUUCGGAUCGUAAAGCUCUGUUGUAAGAGAAGAACGAGUGUGAGAGUGGAAAGUUCACACUGUGACGGUAUCUUACCAGAAAGGGACGGCUAACUACGUG
Molecule: ribosomal RNA, 496 nt
Filed under: uncultured bacterium
Lineage: Bacteria
Description: partial 16S ribosomal RNA
Rfam family: Bacterial small subunit ribosomal RNA
Source: RNAcentral